Molecule: ribosomal RNA, 460 nt
Filed under: uncultured bacterium
Lineage: Bacteria
Description: partial 16S ribosomal RNA
Rfam family: Bacterial small subunit ribosomal RNA
Source: RNAcentral
CCUACGGGAGGCAGCAGUGAGGAAUAUUGGUCAAUGGGCUUACGCCUGAACCAGCCAAGUCGCGUGAGGGAAGACUGCCCUAUGGGUUGUAAACCUCUUUUGUCCGGGAGCAAUUGGCGCUACGUGUAGCGUUAUCGAGAGUACCUGAAGAAAAAGCAUCGGCUAACUCCGUGCCAGCAGCCGCGGUAAUACGGAGGAUGCGAGCGUUAUCCGGAUUUAUUGGGGUUAAAGGGUGCGUAGGCGGAAUGCCAAGUCAGCGGUAAAAGCGCGGGGCUCAACCUCGCUCCGCAGUUGAAACUGGCGUUCUUGAGUGGGCGAGAGGUAUGCGGAAGGCGUGGUGUAGCGGUGAAAUGCAUAGAUAUCACGAAGAACUCCGAUUGCGAAGGCAGCAUACCGGCGCCCAACUGACGCUGAAGCACGAAAGCGUGGGUAUCGAACAGGAUUAGAUACCCUUGUAGUC